AUUGAACGCUGGCGGAAUGCUUUACACAUGCAAGUCGAACGGCAGCACGGGGGCAACCCUGGUGGCGAGUGGCGAACGGGUGAGUAAUACAUCGGAACGUGCCCAGUCGUGGGGGAUAACGUAGCGAAAGCUACGCUAAUACCGCAUACGAUCUACGGAUGAAAGCGGGGGAUCGCAAGACCUCGCGCGAUUGGAGCGGCCGAUGGCAGAUUAGGUAGUUGGUGGGGUAAAGGCUCACCAAGCCUUCGAUCUGUAGCUGGUCUGAGAGGACGACCAGCCACACUGGGACUGAGACACGGCCCAGACUCCUACGGGAGGCAGCAGUGGGGAAUUUUGGACAAUGGGCGAAAGCCUGAUCCAGCCAUUCCGCGUGCAGGAUGAAGGCCCUCGGGUUGUAAACUGCUUUUGUACGGAACGAAACGGCCUUUUCUAAUACAGAGGGCUAAUGACGGUACUGUAAGAAUAAGCACCGGCUAACUACGUGCCAGCAGCCGCGGU
RNAcentral lists this ribosomal RNA (498 nucleotides) under uncultured bacterium. RNAcentral's name for it is "bacterial SSU rRNA". It matches the Rfam family "Bacterial small subunit ribosomal RNA", at positions 30 to 521 of the family's 1533-position model. The record is from RNAcentral.